GAUGAACGCUAGCUACAGGCUUAACACAUGCAAGUCGCAGGGUAACAUGAGGAAAGCUUGCUUUCCUUGAUGACGACUGGCGCACGGGUGAGUAACGCGUAUCCAACCUUCCCAUAACUACGGGAUAACCCGUUGAAAGACGGCCUAAUACCGUAUGAUAUCGUUUGCUGACAUCAAAUAACGAUUAAAGGUUUAGCGGUUAUGGAUGGGGAUGCGUCUGAUUAGCUUGUUGGCGGGGUAACGGCCCACCAAGGCGACGAUCAGUAGGGGUGCUGAGAGGAAGGUACACCACAUGGGAACUGGGACACGGACCACACUCCUACGGGAGGCAGCAGUGAGGAAUAUUGGUCAAUGGGCGAGAGCCUGAACCAGCCAAGUAGCGUGCAGGACGGCGGCCCUAUGGGUUGUAAACUGCUUUUAGGUGGGGAUAAAGUGCGUGACGUGUCAUGCAUUGCAGGUACCACAUGAAUAAGGACCGGCUAAUUCCGUG
This 490-nucleotide ribosomal RNA is filed under the name uncultured bacterium. Its description in RNAcentral is "partial 16S ribosomal RNA". It matches the Rfam family "Bacterial small subunit ribosomal RNA", at positions 28 to 507 of the family's 1533-position model. The record is from RNAcentral.